Molecule: long non-coding RNA, 4160 nt
Filed under: Sus scrofa (pig)
Lineage: Eukaryota; Metazoa; Chordata; Mammalia; Artiodactyla; Suidae
Description: lncRNA (ENSSSCG00065058880.1)
Source: RNAcentral
UCUUUCAUGUAAUUCCAAACUUAUCCAUUUCUAGGUUAAUAACUAAUGUUACUUAUAUGUGUUUUAAUGCUGAUUUCUAAACAUUUCUCAGCAUGAUCUCUAUUUUUUUUUUUUUUUGACCAUCCUGUGGCAUAUGGAGUUCCCAGGCCAAGGACCAGAUCAGAGUCAAUGUUCCAUCCUGCUUUGCUGGAUCCUUAACCCACUGUGCUGGCCUGGGGAUUGAACCUGUAUCCCAACACUGUAGAACUACCGCUGAUUCACUUCACCACAGCAGGAACUCUUUAGCAGACUAUACUCUUUCAAAUGUCAGCAUGGUAUAUCAUGGUGAUUGGCCUUCCUCUUAAGGUUUUGUCACCUUUCAUAUUUUGCAGACUCCUUUCAUAGCUCUGGAAUUAGAACCAACACUUAUUAAAGUAUUUAAAGGACACUGGUAUGGAAAUGCUUAUGACAUUAAAUCAUAAUAACAAGUGAAUGUAAAGCAGACAGAUGAAAAGUUACACUGGCGAAAUUUUUUCAGGGUUCUCAUUGUGGCUCAAUGGGUUAAGAGCCCGACAUAGUGUUCUUGAGGAUGCAGGUUCAAUCCCUGGCUUUGCUAAGUGGCUUUGCUUUUGCCUACAUCACAGCACAUGGCAACACCAUAUCCUUAACCCCCGAGCGAGGCCAGGGAUCGAACCUACAUCCUCAUGGAUCCUAGUCAGGUACAUUAACCACUGAGCCAUGAAGGGAAUUCCUUACUCUGAAAAACUUUUAAGCUUGUAAGAAUAGUGCAAUAACUUGCCAGAAAAUGAAACAAUGAACUCUCACCUUGAGUCACCAAUUAAUAAUUUGCAAACUAUUAAUUGCCUCAUUGAUUCAUUUUUAUUAUUUUUGUUGUCAUAGACAUUAUGACUCUUUACUGCUAUAUAUUUCAGUGUGUUUGUCCUAAAAAUAGGAACAUUCUCUUAUACUACCACUUUAUAGUGUUUGAACUCAGGAAAAUUAAUGUUGAUACAAUAUUAACAUUCAGGGUGUAAUUCAUAUUCAGAUUUUGCCCAUUGUUUUAACGUCGUGUUUAUUUUUAUUUUUUUAUUUUUAUUUAUUUUUUUUGUCUUUUUGCCAUUUCUUGGGCCGUUCCCGCAGCAUAUGGAGGUUCCCAGGGGUAGGGGUCUAAUCGGAGCUGUAGCUGCCAGCUUACACCAGAGCCACAGCAACGCAGGAUCCGAGCCGCGUCUGCAACCUACACCACAGCUCACGGCAAUGCCGGAUCGUUAACCCACUGAGCAAGGCCAAGAAUUGAACCUGCAGCCUCAUGGGUCCUAGUUGGAUUCAUUAACCACUGCACCACGAUGGGAACUCCCUUAACGUCCUUUUUAAAAGUUGAAAUAUAAUUCCAAGACUGUAAAAUUCACCCUUUUAAAGUGUACAAUUCAGCACUCUUAGGUGUAGUCAUGAAGUAGUGCAAGCAUCACCCCAAUUCUGUUCUAAUUUCAGAACAUUUUCCAGAGAGAAACCCCAAACCCAUUAGUAGUCACUCCCCAUUUCCAUCUCUCCCCCACCCCGUGGCAACCUCUAAUAUAUUUCCUCUCUCUGUGGAUUUUUUCUAUUCUGGACAUUUCAUAUAAGUGGGAACAUCCAGUAUGUGGCCUUUUGUGACUGGCUCCCUUCUGUUAGCCUGUUUUCAAAGUUCAUCCAUAUUAGCAUGUAUCAGUACUGUAUUCCUUUUUUAUGGCUGAUUUUUUUCUCUCUCAUAUUUAUACAUAUUCUCUCCCUCUCCUUCUCAUACACACAACUUACAUAUUUUGUUUAUCCAUUCCUUAAUGAUGGAUAUUUUGAUUCUUGCUCUUCUGCUUAAUAGCUUUGACAUUUUGGCUGGUCUCUCUUAUCUUCCAUUUCUCUAUCUGUAAAAUGGGGUUAAAAUGUAUCUUAGAGAGUUGUUGUGAGAACUAGUGGGGGCAUUUGUAGGUGAAUGUGAUGGACUCAUAGUUGUGAUGCAUAAAUGACAGUUCCCGUCUGUUGGCUAGAAUCAUUUGGAGUAAACUUUGAAGGAAAGAGCUCUCAUCUUUUUGCCAGGAUAGUGAAGUCAGCUUCUUUUAAUCUACAGAUUCCUUCUCCAUCACUUUAUUUUCCUUUGAAAAACCAGUGAACCAUGGGAAAUAAUAUUCCCAUGACCCGUAGAGAUUCUCCAAAUCUGGAUUUUUCUGAUUCCAUACUUCGGAUGCGAUUGGCCAUGCUCCUCUGAGAUACUUCUGCACAUUGGCAGUUGUCUCUAGAGGCUUGCUCAGAUUUAGCUUUAAUCCCCUUGGCAAGAUGUAGAUGCUGUUGUAUACUUUCAUCAGAGGCUUGUCAUGUCUGGCUGUCCCUUUUUUCUGUGUGUGGGUGGCUUGCAGCUGUUGGUGCUCAUUGCCUAGACUAUUAAUUUGGGGUUGAAAAAUAGUGGUACUGUGAUUCUGUUAUUUCUUUUUAACUUAUUUGUUGGGCUGUUUUUAUAAAGAGAUGUUUAUCCUCAUGUGGUUAAGGCAGAGUUGUCAUGAAUGGGAUCAAUGAUCUUAUAAAAGAGACCUCAGAGGGCAACCUUGCCCCAUCCGCCAUAUGAAGACAUAGCAAGAAGACAGCUGCCUAUGAACUAGGAAGUAGGCUCUCAUAAGACACCGAAUCUGCUGGUGCCUUGAUCUUGGACUUGCCAGCCUCCAGAACUGUGAGAAAUAAACUUCUGUUGUUUAUAAGCCACCCCAUCUGUGGUACUCUUUUAUGGCAGCCUGAACAGACUAAAACAGAUUCUUUGUAGAUACAGCUUAUUCUACAAUUUGUAUGAACAGAAAUUGGAAAACCAAAACAACUUUGAAAAAUAACCAAGUUAGAAGAUUUUCACUACCUGAUUUUAAGACACACUGUUAAGCUAUAGUUGUUAAGACAGUGUAAUAUUAGUAAAAGCAUUGACAUACAGACAAUGAAAUAGGUAUGCAACAUGAAAUAAACAGGGUUGACUGAUUUUUGACAAAAGUGCAAUGGCAAUUUUAAACAAAGAGUGCUGGAACAUCCAAAGGCAAAAAAGUGAUUAUUGUUUACCUACAUUUCAAAACAAAACAAACUCUGCCUGGAUGACAGAGCCAAGUGUAAAACGUAGAACUGUAAAGUUCUUAGAAGAAAACAUAGGAGAAAAUUCCUCCUGUUGGCUUAGGCAAAUACUUCUUAGUGAGAUCCAUAAAGAAAAAUUAAUAUAUUGAACCCAGUCAGAAUUAAAACUUUUGCUCUACAAAGAACCCUAUUAAGAGAAUAGAAAGGCCGCUCCAUAUUGGGGCACGUUCCACAUAAGGAAAAAGUGCUUAUAUCUGAAAUUUAUAAAGAAAUCCCAACAAUAUUUAACCAGAUUUUAACAAUGAGCAAAAUAUUUGAACAGACUUUUCACCAUGGUGGAUAUAAGGACAGCAAAUAAGCAACUGAAAAGAUGUUCAGUGCCAUUCGUAAUAACUAAAACCACAAUGAAGUAUCAUUAUCUACCCAUACAAUUGGUAAAUUAAAAAAUACUGACAUUGCCAAGUUCCUGAUGACCCAUGCAUAAUAACCAGAACUCUCAUACAUUUCUGGUAGGGCUGCAAAAUGGUAUUGUCACUUUGGAAAAUAGCUUGGUUGUUUCUUAAACAAGUUAAACAUGCCUUUAUCAUAUGAUUUAGCAAUUCCAAUUCUAAGGGUUUAUCCCAGAGAAAUGAAAACCUGUGUUUACACAAAGAUUUGUAUACAUAUGUGUAACUCAUAAUGCUCAAAAAAAAAGAAAGAAAAAGGAAGCCACUCAAAUGUCUGUCUGUAGGUGAAUGGAUAAACAAACUGUGAAGUACUACUCAGCAAUAGAGGAAUGAACUAUGGCUGCAAACAACAACAUGAAUGCAGUUCAGAUAUGAUAUUGUAAGUGAAAGAACCCUGUCUCAAAAGGUCACAUAAUAUUUCAUUUAUAUGAUAGUCUAGAAAAGGAAAAAAUGCAGGCACUGAGAACAGAUCAGUGGUUGCCAGGAGUUAGGGUUGGGGGUUUGAAUAUAAAGGUUCAAAGGAAUUUGUCCCCUGGUUGGAAUUAUUCUAUGUUCUAUAUAUGGUGGUGGUUAUAAUAAUGCAUGCAUGUUUAAAAUCUUAGAGAGCAAUACAUGGAAAAAGACAAAUUUUACUUUUUGUGAUUAAAAAAAAAAAAAAAA